UGGAUAUUUUCAGUACAUUGAAUGUACUUAAUCUUUAGCUUCUAGGUUUUGAUGAAAAGAUCUUGAAAGCACAUGCACCAUAUGCGGUAUGACGGAAACCACAUGCUUUGCAACUGGAAAGGUGCGUUCAAACUUGUAAAUUUAAAAGUUAUAGGAGGCCAGGCUUGGUGGCUCAGGACUGUAAUCCCAGCAUUUUGGGAGGCCAGGCA
This 209-nucleotide long non-coding RNA is filed under the name Homo sapiens (human). Its description in RNAcentral is "non-protein coding lnc-NUTM1-13:1". The record is from RNAcentral. Lineage: Eukaryota; Metazoa; Chordata; Mammalia; Primates; Hominidae.